RNAcentral lists this ribosomal RNA (1111 nucleotides) under uncultured bacterium. RNAcentral's name for it is "bacterial SSU rRNA". It matches the Rfam family "Bacterial small subunit ribosomal RNA", at positions 343 to 1497 of the family's 1533-position model. The record is from RNAcentral.
ACUCCCCAAAAUCUAGGAAACCAUGGAAAUGGCAUGACCCGUACCCGAAUCCGUGUGCAAGUGCCUCCGAGGUAGCAUUUAGUUGGGGAGGGAAGGUUUUAUUAAGGAUAACAAUUGACUGUACUAAAGAAUAAGCACAGGCUACUUGUCAGCAGCGCGUAUACAGAGGUGCGAGCGUAUCGAUACUGGCGUACGGCGGGUAGCGUAUAUAAGUGAUGUGAAAUCCUGGGCUUAACCUAGACUGCAUCGAAACUGUAUAGCUGAGUGCUGUAGAGGGUAGUGAAUUUCCGUGUAGCGGUGAAAUGCGUAGAUAUCGGAAGGAACACCAGUGGCGAAGGCGGCUACCUGGACAGACACUGACGCUGAGCGCGAGAGCGUGUGAGCAAACAGGAUUAGAUACCUGGUAGACACGCUGUAAACGAUGAGAACUAGAUGUUGGUAGGCUUGGACCUAUUAGUAUCGAAGCUAACGCGAUAAGUUCUCCGCCUGGGGAGUACGACCGCAAGGUUAAAACUCAAAGGAAUUGACGGGGACCCGCACAAGCGGUGGAGCAUGUGGUUUAAUUCGAUGCAACGCGAAGAACCUUACCUACCCUUGACAUGUCAGGAAAUUUGCAGAGAUGCGAAGGUGCCGAAAGGAACCUGAACACAGGUGCUGCAUGGCUGUCGUCAGCUCGUGUUGUGAGAUGUUGGGUUAAGUCCCGUAACGAGCGCAACCCUUAUCCUUAGUUACCAGCGAGUCAAGUCGGGGACUCUAAGGAGACUGCCGGUGAUGAACCGGAGGAAGGCGGGGACGACGUCAAGUCAUCAUGGCCUUUAUGGGUAGGGCAACACACGUGCUACAAUGGUCGGUACAGAGGGAAGCCAACUCGCGAGAGGGAGCCAAUCCCAGAAAGCCGAUCGUAGUCCGGAUUGGAGUCUGCAACUCGACUCCAUGAAGUCGGAAUCGCUAGUAAUCGCGAAUCAGAAUGUCGCGGUGAAUACGUUCCCGGGCCUUGUACACACCGCCCGUCACACCAUGGGAGUGGGUUGUACCAGAAGUAGGUAGAAUAACCUUCGGGGGUUCGCUUACCACGGUAUGGUUCAUGACUGGGGUGAAGUCGUAACAAGGU